RNAcentral lists this RNase P RNA (367 nucleotides) under Cyclobacteriaceae bacterium. RNAcentral describes it as "RNase P RNA component class A". It matches the Rfam family "Bacterial RNase P class A". From Rfam's summary of the family: Ribonuclease P (RNase P) is a ubiquitous endoribonuclease, found in archaea, bacteria and eukarya as well as chloroplasts and mitochondria. Its best characterised activity is the generation of mature 5'-ends of tRNAs by cleaving the 5'-leader elements of precursor-tRNAs. Cellular RNase Ps are ribonucleoproteins. Lineage: Bacteria; Pseudomonadati; Bacteroidota; Cytophagia; Cytophagales; Cyclobacteriaceae. The record is from RNAcentral.
AGAGCAAGCGAGCUCAUCGCCUCAAUAUUGAGGAGGAAAGUCCGGGCAGCACAGAGUACCGUACUUCUUAAUUGGAAGUCUUUUUUUUAAAGGAGAUAGUGCAACAGAAAAUAUACCGUCUUGAUUUUUUCGAGAUAAGGGUGAAAAGGUGAGGUAAGAGCUCACCGGUCUCAGCGUGAGUUGAGGCGCAUUGUAAACCUUACGGGCUGAAAGGUCAAAUAGAUCUUGCGAUCAAGAGUUACUCGCUCAUGCAAGAAGGGUAGACCGUUCGAUUCCAAUGGUAAUUUUGGAACUAGAUAAAUGAUGGGACAGUAUUAAGAAUUAUCUUAAUAGAGUACAGAACCCGGCUUAUUUGCUUGUUUAAUUU